GACGGAGGAUGCAAGCGUUAUCCGGAAUGAUUGGGCGUAAAGCGUCCGCAGGUGGCAGUUCAAGUCUGCUGUCAAAGACCGGGGCUUAACUUCGGAAAGGCAGUGGAAACUGAACAGCUAGAGUAUGGUAGGGGCAGAGGGAAUUCCUGGUGUAGCGGUGAAAUGCGUAGAGAUCAGGAAGAACAUCGGUGGCGAAGGCGGUUCUCUGGGCAUUACCUGACGCUGAGGAGCGAAAGUGUGGGGAGCGAACAGG
RNAcentral lists this ribosomal RNA (253 nucleotides) under uncultured bacterium. Its description in RNAcentral is "partial 16S ribosomal RNA". It matches the Rfam family "Bacterial small subunit ribosomal RNA", at positions 524 to 776 of the family's 1533-position model. The record is from RNAcentral.